GAUGAAGAACGUAGCGAAAUGCGAUAAGUAAUGUGAAUUGCAGAAUUCAGUGAAUCAUCGAAUCUUUGAACGCACCUUGCGCCCUUUGGCUAUUCCGAAGGGCAUGCCUGUUUGAGUAUCGUGAACACCUCAACUCUCAUGGUUUGCCAUGAUGAGCUUGGACUUUGGGGGUUUUGCUGGCCUUUGGUCGGCUCCUCUCAAACGGAUCAGCUUUCCAGUGUUUGGUGGCGUCACGGGUGUGAUAACUAUCUACGCCUGUGGUUUUCUGCCAGAUAACCUUCAGCGAUGGAGGUUCGCUGGGGCUCAUAAAUGUCUCUCUUCAGUGGAGGCAGCUUUUUGGACGUUUGAUCUCAAAUCAGGUAGGACUACCCGCUGAACUUAAGCAUAUCAAUAAGCGGAGGA
This 402-nucleotide unclassified non-coding RNA is filed under the name soil metagenome. RNAcentral describes it as "partial contains 5.8S ribosomal RNA, internal transcribed spacer 2, and large subunit ribosomal RNA". The stretch from base 1 to 121 matches the Rfam family "5.8S ribosomal RNA", at positions 35 to 154 of the family's 154-position model. The record is from RNAcentral.